GGACGAACGCUGGCGGCGCGCUUAACACAUGCAAGUCGAACGGAAAGGCCCCUUUGGGGGUACUCGAGUGGCGAACGGGUGAGUAACACGUGAGUAACCUGCCCUUGACUUCGGGAUAACUUCAGGAAACUGGGGCUAAUACCGGAUAGGAAUCCUUGCUGCAUGGUGGGGGUUGGAAAGCUUCGGCGGUUUUGGAUGGACUCGCGGCUUAUCAGCUUGUUGGUGGGGUAGUGGCUUACCAAGGCUUUGACGGGUAGCCGGCCUGAGAGGGCGACCGGCCACAUUGGGACUGAGAUACGGCCCAGACUCCUACGGGAGGCAGCAGUGGGGAAUAUUGCACAAUGGGCGGAAGCCUGAUGCAGCAACGCCGCGUGCGGGAUGACGGCCUUCGGGUUGUAAACCGCUUUCAGCAGGGGCGAAGCUUGUGGUGACGGUACCUGCAGAAGAAGCACCGGCUAACUACGUG
This 466-nucleotide ribosomal RNA is filed under the name uncultured bacterium. RNAcentral's name for it is "partial 16S ribosomal RNA". It matches the Rfam family "Bacterial small subunit ribosomal RNA", at positions 27 to 507 of the family's 1533-position model. The record is from RNAcentral.